Choloepus didactylus (southern two-toed sloth) is the source of this 295-nucleotide long non-coding RNA. RefSeq lists it as uncharacterized. The transcript is spliced from 3 exons. Lineage: Eukaryota; Metazoa; Chordata; Mammalia; Pilosa; Megalonychidae. The record is from RefSeq and is a predicted model, not a curated record.
AAAGCAUUACUGGGAUGAUGCCUUGAUUUGGACAUUUUCACAGCCUCCAAACUGGGAGAACAUGAACACGGUCCCCCACUACCACAAAUUAUGCAGUCGAGUUUCCUACAUUUGGGGAAAUCACAGGGGUCAGCACAUCCGGAGUGCAAAGGAUAAGCCUCACCCUGGGAAAACCACCUUCGUGAUCAUGGUGUCUCCCUUCCAGGGAAUUCAUGUAAUGAAAACUAUCCUAAAGAAGGAAAAGACUGCCAUAUUAAUUGCUUCUUCUGCAAAACUGGAAAUAAACUAAACACCC